UACGGAGGGUGCGAGCGUUGUCCGGAAUCAUUGGGCGUAAAGGGCGCGUAGGUGGCCCGCUCAGCGUGCGGUGAAAGCUCGGGGCUCAACCCCGAGUCGGCCGUGCGAACUGGUGGGCUGGAGCACUGUAGAGGCAGGCGGAAUUCCGGGUGUAGCGGUGGAAUGCGUAGAGAUCCGGAAGAACACCGGUGGCGAAGGCGGCCUGCUGGGCAGUUGCUGACGCUGAGACGCGAAAGCGUGGGGAGCAAACAGG
RNAcentral lists this ribosomal RNA (253 nucleotides) under uncultured bacterium. RNAcentral's name for it is "partial 16S ribosomal RNA". It matches the Rfam family "Bacterial small subunit ribosomal RNA", at positions 524 to 776 of the family's 1533-position model. The record is from RNAcentral.